Molecule: non-coding RNA, 509 nt
Organism: Podarcis lilfordi (Lilford's wall lizard)
Lineage: Eukaryota; Metazoa; Chordata; Lepidosauria; Squamata; Lacertidae
Source: the annotation of a GenBank genome assembly
UUUUUAAUGACACCAAAGCCAUUAACGAACCUAUGAUCAGAAAGCAGUGGGCAAAGAGCAAAUAGAGCAAUAACAAGGUAAGACAGUGUGCUCUUUUCACACACAGAAAAGAGGCAAUUAAAAAAUGGGUGCAGCUGUGGUCCACACUAGUUCAAGUUACAUAUUAUUUUGCAAAAUGAAUCUAAAGAUUUUGUGAAUAUACUCAUGUAUAUUAUUAUUCUUACUAUGUCUAAUGUAAUGUCUUGUUUCUUCCUUUACUCACAAGUAUAAAGGGGAAGAGAAACAAUAGAAUUACUAAGUAGAAGGUAAUUUAAGAAUGAAGGAAAAGAAUAAGGGAACUUUUCUAAGAAUGGGAGCCUACUUUUGAGAAAUGAAGAACCAUCCUAGAAGAAACAAAUAAUUCAUUAAAAGGAGCAAGAUCUGGUCAAUAAGAAUUGAGCUAGACAUCCUUUAUUUGAGAAGAAGCAUUCUGGCUUCUGCCGCCGCCGCCACCCCAUUUUCUCCCACCU